AGGCUUUCCCGUUUUGUUGAACUAAUAGCAAAUUUAAGUUCAAUAUACAGGAUAGCCCCG
RNAcentral lists this microRNA precursor (60 nucleotides) under Caenorhabditis briggsae. Its description in RNAcentral is "microRNA cbr-mir-4813 precursor". The record is from miRBase by way of RNAcentral. Lineage: Eukaryota; Metazoa; Nematoda; Chromadorea; Rhabditida; Rhabditidae.